AGAGCUAUAACAAUUAACAACAAUGUUUCAGAUGCAUUGACAAAUGCACAUAACGGCUUUUUUCCAUUCAAGAAGAGAGAAAAAUGAUUGGGAGAAAAGGGGAAGAAUAAGGUUGUUGGUUUAGGCAGGAAAUGACAUAAUGAGGGUGUUGAAAAUGAGCUGGUUCUUGAUUAGACCACCACCCAUCAUCAAAAGCACU
RNAcentral lists this long non-coding RNA (199 nucleotides) under Glycine max (soybean). RNAcentral's name for it is "long non-coding RNA (GMAX_LNC003581)". Lineage: Eukaryota; Viridiplantae; Streptophyta; Magnoliopsida; Fabales; Fabaceae. The record is from RNAcentral.